AUGAGGGCAACAAGUGAUGAAGGGAAGCUGAUGAACAGGUGAUGAUGACGACAUGCGACGAAAAGCGACGAGUGAUGAACAGGUGGGCGCUGAGGACAACGAGCAAUAAGGGCGACAGUCAAUAGAACUCUCUUGCUCUUGUGGUGGCGGCUUCGAUUACAGAAAAAUGGCUGCUGCUGCUCUCUUCCUUUUCUGUAAUAUAAUUUUUCUUUCUCUCUUUUUUUUUUUAGUUUCGUGUUUGAUUGAUUAUUGAACUAUAAGAAUUAUUGAACUCUUCAAGCAUUUGAAAGAGUUCCAGCCGCCCGUUAUCAUAAAGGGAUCGGACAAUUUGCAG
RNAcentral lists this long non-coding RNA (334 nucleotides) under Ricinus communis (castor bean). Its description in RNAcentral is "long non-coding RNA (RCOM_LNC003130)". The record is from RNAcentral. Lineage: Eukaryota; Viridiplantae; Streptophyta; Magnoliopsida; Malpighiales; Euphorbiaceae.